RNAcentral lists this ribosomal RNA (58 nucleotides) under Rhizopus stolonifer. RNAcentral describes it as "partial 28S ribosomal RNA". It matches the Rfam family "Eukaryotic large subunit ribosomal RNA", at positions 1 to 57 of the family's 3401-position model. The record is from RNAcentral. Lineage: Eukaryota; Fungi; Mucoromycota; Mucoromycetes; Mucorales; Rhizopodaceae. RNAcentral also lists the same sequence under 46 other names.
UUGACCUCGAAUCAGGUAGGAAUACCCGCUGAACUUAAGCAUAUCAAUAAGCGGAGGA